This 254-nucleotide ribosomal RNA is filed under the name uncultured bacterium. RNAcentral's name for it is "partial 16S ribosomal RNA". It matches the Rfam family "Bacterial small subunit ribosomal RNA", at positions 524 to 776 of the family's 1533-position model. The record is from RNAcentral.
UACGAAGGGGGCUAGCGUUGCUCGGAAUCACUGGGCGUAAAGGGCGCGUAGGCGGCUUUGCAAGUGGCGGGUGAAAAUCCCUCGGCUUAACCGAGGAACUGCCUGCCAGACUGUGAGGCUUGAGACCGGGAGAGGUGAGUGGAAUUCCCAGUGUAGCGGUGAAAUGCGUAGAUAUUGGGAGGAACACCAGUGGCGAAGGCGGCUCACUGGACCGGAACUGACGCUGAGGCGCGAAAGCGUGGGGAGCAAACAGG